CAGCCGCCACGGUAAUACGGAGGGUGCGAGCGUUAAUCGGAAUUACUGGGCGUAAAGCGUACGCAGGCGGUCUGUUAAGUCAGAUGUGAAAUCCCCGGGCUUAACCCGGGAACUGCAUUUGAAACUGGCAGGCUAGAGUCUCGUAGAGGGGGGUAGAAUUCCAGGUGUAGCGGUGAAAUGCGUAGAGAUCUGGAGGAAUACCGGUGGCGAAGGCGGCCAUCUGGCCUAAUACUGACGCUGAGGUACGAAAGCAUGGGGAGCAAACAGGAUUAGAUACCCCGGUAGUCCCUGUCUCUUAUAC
RNAcentral lists this ribosomal RNA (301 nucleotides) under uncultured bacterium. Its description in RNAcentral is "partial 16S ribosomal RNA". It matches the Rfam family "Bacterial small subunit ribosomal RNA", at positions 509 to 807 of the family's 1533-position model. The record is from RNAcentral.